UACGUAGGGUGCGAGCGUUGCCCGGAAUUAUUGGGCGUAAAGAGCUUGUAGGCGGUCUGUCGCGUCUGCUGUGAAAAUCCGGGGCUCAACCCCGGACUUGCAGUGGGUACGGGCAGACUAGAGUGUGGUAGGGGAGACUGGAAUUCCUGGUGUAGCGGUGAAAUGCGCAGAUAUCAGGAGGAACACCGAUGGCGAAGGCAGGUCUCUGGGCCACUACUGACGCUGAGAAGCGAAAGCAUGGGGAACGAACAGG
Molecule: ribosomal RNA, 253 nt
Filed under: uncultured bacterium
Lineage: Bacteria
Description: partial 16S ribosomal RNA
Rfam family: Bacterial small subunit ribosomal RNA
Source: RNAcentral